Molecule: long non-coding RNA, 343 nt
Organism: Lepisosteus oculatus (spotted gar)
Lineage: Eukaryota; Metazoa; Chordata; Actinopteri; Semionotiformes; Lepisosteidae
Source: RefSeq, a predicted model, not a curated record
AUUACUGCUGCCUCAACAACACCAAAAACAACAACUGAUACUACUGGCACUGCGACAGCAAAUCUGCUGCUGCGUUGGCUGCUGCUACACCUGGAAUAAACCUUUACCUUUUCCUUUGCAAGUGUUGGAUAUCCAUACUUCAGAAGGAUCUACCAGAGUGCCUUGUAAAUCAAGUCUGUGAAUGCUACAGAGAGAGGUAUAAGGGUUGGAGCAUGAUGAUAAGCAACAUCUGUGAGCAUUCUGCAAGUCUGAAAAGUGGAAACGUACGGUGGAUUAUCGCACUUCCUCUGCCUGAACCUGGCGCCUGUCCCACAUGUCCGGCUGCACAUGCUCCACUGGCUCC